RNAcentral lists this long non-coding RNA (1406 nucleotides) under Callithrix jacchus (white-tufted-ear marmoset). Its description in RNAcentral is "lncRNA (ENSCJAG00000087282.1)". Lineage: Eukaryota; Metazoa; Chordata; Mammalia; Primates; Cebidae. The record is from RNAcentral.
GAGACAGGAGGAAAGAGGCUCCACGGACGCUGAGAGCCCGCCAGCGGAUGAACUAGAAGAGCUUCGCAGCGGCUCUCAUGCCGGGGCUGUCUUUAUAGCUGAGACUCCCGCCGGGGCCCCGCCUGGCCGCCCCGGGCUGGUCCGGCCAAUCAGGAGUGGGAGCGGGCCCCGGGGGCGGGGCUUUCUCUCGGCUUGACUCACCCGAGUAGACGAAUCUGGCUUCGGCGGCGCACGCUCAGCCCCUCCUAAUAGCGCCGCGGACCUGCCCCUGAGGCCAGCUGGGUCCGCCUCCCCCCGCCGCCUCCUGGGCGAAGACGCCAGAAGACGUAUCAGCUUUCUUUUGGUUGGUAUUUACAAGGUAUGUAUUUUCCUUUUAAUUUCAACCUUUAUUAUUAUAUUUCAAAUGUGUCUCCUAUUAAUAGCAGUUGGAUUUUUUUUAAUAGUCAAUCUUUAACUUUUUUUUUUUUUUUUUGAGACGGAGUUUCUCUCUUGUUACCCAGGCUGGAGUGCAAUGGCGCGAUCUCAGCUCACCACAACCUCCAACUCCUGGGUUCAGGCAAUUCUCCUGCCUCAGCCUCCCGAGUAGCUGGGAUUACAGGCACGCGCCACCAUGCCCAGCUAAUUUUUUGUAUUUUUAGUAGAGACGGGGUUUCACCAUGUUGACCAGGAUGGUCUCGAUCUCUUGACCUCGUGAUCCACCCGCCUCAGCCUCCCAAAGGGCUGGGAUCUUUAACUUUUAACCAGACCAUUUAAUCCUUUUACAUUUCUUACUACUAUAUUUAGAAUUAAAUAUGCCAUCUUCAAAAGUGAUUUCAUUUGUCUGAUCUAUUACAUUUCUUCUUCUCUCCUUUUUGUUCUCCUUUAAAUUGAUAUCUGAUUUUUAUGUAUCAAAUCCUCCUCUUUACCAGUUUUAAAUCAUAUCCUUUGUAUUAUUUUAUUGAUUACCUUUAAAGUUAUAUUAUACAUUUUUAAUUUAUCAAAAUUUAUCAUUAAUAAUAUAAGGAAAUCAGAACACUUGAACUCCAUAUAUUCUUUCCUGAUUUAUAUGCUACUGUUGUGUAUUUUAAGUUUGUAUUUUUUAAAGUCCACAAGAUGAUAUUAUUAUUAUUUUAUACACUUAAACAUUGGAUUUACUUAAACCUUUUCCAUUUUCUUUGCUCUUAAUUCCUUGUAUCUAAGACUUUCCAAGUGAAUUUUUUCUCCUCUUACCUGAAAUACAUGCCUUAAAAUUUCUGUCAUUGUAGAUUUGAUAGUGGCAAAAUAUGUCUCCUCUAGUGUAUCUCAAAUGUCAUUAUUUUAUAUACUGAUUUUAGGUUGGUAACUGUUUUGUUUCAGCACAUUGAAAAUAAUAUUCCACUGUCUCCUCUUACCCAUUUUUACUAGUGGAAAGUUAGCUGUUAGUAUAU